UGUACAUGUGAAACUGCAGAAAAUCUGUUUAAAAAGACACUAUGAAUUUCUUGCUCUUUUUCUUUUCUCUGAUAGCCAUGCCAAACUGGUCUUUCUGUGAUGUCCAGCUCGUGUCAUCAGGGCCUGAAACUGUAAGACCAGGACAAAAUCUCAAUUUGCUCUGCAAAGUUACAGGUGUCUCCAUCACCAGUAGUAGCUAUGCUUGGAACUGGGUCCGUCAGCCUCCAGGGAAAGGGUUAGAAUGGAUUGCCAGAAUCUACCCGCAUGAUGGGAGAAAAUGGUUUUCAUCUUCCCUUCAAAGCCGCACCUCUAUUGCUUCAGACAACUCCAAGAAUGAGUAUUCCCUUCAGUUGAACUCCUUGUCAGCUGCUGACACUGCCGUGUAUUACUGUGCCCGAGAUGCACAGUAG
Python bivittatus (Burmese python) is the source of this 410-nucleotide non-coding RNA. Lineage: Eukaryota; Metazoa; Chordata; Lepidosauria; Squamata; Pythonidae. The record is from the annotation of a RefSeq genome assembly.